RNA transcript from Cebus imitator (Panamanian white-faced capuchin), 722 nucleotides. It is a transcript of the gene named AP-3 complex subunit sigma-1-like, with no coding region annotated. The record is from RefSeq and is a predicted model, not a curated record. NCBI's taxonomy places the organism in Eukaryota, Metazoa, Chordata, Mammalia, Primates, Cebidae. The transcript has a single exon.
CCCCAGUGCCCAGCCAUGAUCAAGGCAAUCCUAAUCUUCAACAACCACGGGAAGCCGAGGCUCUCCAAGUUCUACCAGCCCAACAGUGAAGAUACACAACAGCAAAUCAUCAGGGGGACUUUCUAUUUGGUAUCUAAGAGAGAUGAAAAUGUUUGUAAUUUCCUAGAAGGAAGAUUAUUAAUUGGAGGAUCCAACAACAAACUGAUUUAUAAACAUUAUGCAAUGCUAAUAUUUUGUCUUCUGUGUUGAUUCUUCAGAAAGUGAACUUGACAUUUUAGAUCUAAUUCACGUAUUUGUGGAAACAUUAGACAAAUGUUUUAAAAAUGUCUGUGAACUGGAUUUGAUCUUCCAUGUAGACAAGGUGCACAAUAUUCUUGCAGAAAUGGUGAUGGGGGGAAUGCUAUUAGAGACUAACAUGAAUGAGAUUGUUACACAAAUUGAUACAGAAAAUAAGCUAGAAAAAUCUGAGGCUGGCUUAGCAGAAGCGCUGUUAUCAGCUGUAAAGAAUACGAAUCUUCCUGAGAUCCCAAGAAAUAUUAACAUUGGUGACAUCAGUAUAAAAUUGACAAACCUGCCCUCUUUUAAAUAAAAAUUUUAAGAAGCCACUUCCAGGUAAAAUCCAGAGGAAAAAGUCAUCUAAGUUUACCAUGCAGUCAUUUACCAAAAAUAGAGAAGAGUCUUAACUUUUGCUCAAGGUACUAUAUAGGAAUUGUGUAAAAUCA